This 187-nucleotide ribosomal RNA is filed under the name Escherichia coli. Its description in RNAcentral is "partial 16S ribosomal RNA". It matches the Rfam family "Bacterial small subunit ribosomal RNA", at positions 1 to 179 of the family's 1533-position model. The record is from RNAcentral. Lineage: Bacteria; Pseudomonadati; Pseudomonadota; Gammaproteobacteria; Enterobacterales; Enterobacteriaceae.
UUAAAUUGAAGAGUUUGAUCAUGGCUCAGAUUGAACGCUGGCGGCAGGCCUAACACAUGCAAGUCGAACGGUAACAGGACGCAGCUUGCUGCUUUGCUGACGAGUGGCGGACGGGUGAGUAAUGUCUGGGAAACUGCCUGAUGGAGGGGGAUAACUAAUGGAAACGGUAGCUAAUACCGCAUAACGU